GAUGAACGCUGGCGGCGUGCCUAAUACAUGCAAGUCGAGCGAACAGAUGAGGAUCUUGCUCCUCUGUCGUUAGCGGCGGACGUGUGAGUAACACGUGGAUAACCUCCCUAUAUGACUGGGAUAACUUCGGGAAACCGGAGCUAAUACCGGAUAAUAUAUUGCACCGCAUGGUUCAAUAGUGAAAGACGGUGUUGCUGUCACUUAUAGAUGGAUCCGCGCCGCAUUAGCUAGUUGGUAAGUUAACGGCUUACCAAGGCAACGAUGCGUAGCCGACCUGAGAGGGUGAUCGGCCACACUGGAACUGAGACACGGUCCAGACUCCUACGGGAGGCAGCAGUAGGGAAUCUUCCGCAAUGGGCGAAAGCCUGACGGAGCAACGCCGAGUGAGUGAUGAAGGUCUUCGGAUCGUAAAACUCUGUUAUUAGGGAAGAACAAAUGUGUAAGUAACUAUGCACGUCUUGACGGUACCUAAUCAGAAAGCCACGGCUAACUACGUG
RNAcentral lists this ribosomal RNA (497 nucleotides) under uncultured bacterium. RNAcentral describes it as "partial 16S ribosomal RNA". It matches the Rfam family "Bacterial small subunit ribosomal RNA", at positions 28 to 507 of the family's 1533-position model. The record is from RNAcentral.